This 1240-nucleotide ribosomal RNA is filed under the name metagenome. RNAcentral's name for it is "bacterial LSU rRNA". It matches the Rfam family "Bacterial large subunit ribosomal RNA", at positions 1564 to 2813 of the family's 2925-position model. The record is from RNAcentral.
UGAGUACGAGAUGCUACGGCAUUGAAGCAGUCUAUGUCAGACUUCCAAGAAAAGCUCGGAAUAUCAUAAACAAAGAAUGCCUGUACCAUAACCGACACAGGUGGGUAGGUAGAGUAUACUAAGGGGCGCGAGAUAACUCUCUCUAAGGAACUCGGCAAAAUGACUCCGUAACUUCGGGAGAAGGAGUGCCUUCUUUUAGAAGGUUGCAAUAACAAGAUCCAAGCAACUGUUUACCAAAAACACAGGUCUCCGCUAAGUCGUAAGACGAUGUAUGGGGGCUGACGCCUGCCCAGUGCCAGAAGGUUAAAGAAGUUGGUUAGUUUCGGCGAAGCUGAUGACUGAAGCCCUGGUGAACGGCGGCCGUAACUAUAACGGUCCUAAGGUAGCGAAAUUCCUUGUCGGGUAAGUUCCGACCCGCACGAAAGGCGUAAUGAUUUGGAUACUGUCUCGGAGAGGGGCUCGGUGAAAUAGACUUGUCUGUGAAGAUGCGGACUACCUGCACCAGGACAGAAAGACCCUAUGAAGCUUUACUGUAACUUGAGAUUGAAAUUGGACUUUAUUUGCGCAGUAUAGGUGGGAGACGUUGAGAAUAUUCUUGCGGGAGUAUUGGAGUCAUCAGUGAGAUACCACUCUUGUAAUGUUAGAUUUCUAACUUUGUAUCAUUAUCUGGUCAAAGGACAGUUUCAGGCGGGCAGUUUGACUGGGGCGGUCGCCUCCCAAACGGUAACGGAGGCGCACAAAGGUUUCCUCUGAACGUGUAGAAAUCGUAUCUAGAGUGUAAAGGCAUAAGGAAGCUUGACUGUGAGACCUACAAGUCGAGCAGGGACGAAAGUCGGUCUUAGUGAUCUGACGGUGCUGAGUGGAAAGGCCGUCACUCAACGGAUAAAAGUUACUCUAGGAUAACAGGCUGAUCUCCCCCAAGAGUUCACAUCGACGGGGAGGUUUGGCACCUCGAUGUCGGCUCAUCGCAUCCUGGGGCGGUAGUACGUCCCAAGGGUUGGGCUGUUCGCCCAUGAAAGCGGUACGCGAGCUGGGUUCAGAACGUCGUGAGACAGUUCGGUCCAUAUCCGGUGUAGGCGUUAGAAUAUUGAGAGGAGCCUUCUUUAGUACGAGAGGACCGAGAAGGACAUACCUCUGGUGUACCAGUUAUCGUGCCAACGGUAAACGCUGGGUAGCUAUGUAUGGAGUGGAUAACCGCUGAAAGCAUCUAAGUGGGAAGCCCACCUCAAGAUAAGUAUUC